This 45-nucleotide non-coding RNA is filed under the name Schistosoma bovis. Lineage: Eukaryota; Metazoa; Platyhelminthes; Trematoda; Strigeidida; Schistosomatidae. RNAcentral also lists the same sequence under 1 other name. The record is from RNAcentral.
AUCCAGCUGGCGAGUCCCAAACAGAACGAAACGGACAUCCUAGAU